GACGAACGCUGGCGGCGUGCUUAACCCAUGCAAGUCGAACGAAGUGGCGAACGGGUGAGUAACGCGUAAUCAACCUGCCCUUCAGAGGGGGACACCAGUUGGAAACGACGGCUAAUACCGCAUACUGAAGGAGGGGAUUGCGUCUGAUUAGCUAGUGGGAGGGGUAAAGGCCAACCAAGGCGAUGAUCAGUAGCCGGUCUGAGAGGAGGAACUGCAAAAUUGGGACUGAGACACGGCCCCGACUCCUUCGGGAGGCAGCAGUGGGGAAUCUUCCGAAAUGGACGAAAGUCUGACGGAGCAACGCCGCGUGAGUGAUGAAGGCCUUCGGGUUGUAAAGCUCUGUUAAGCGGGACGCGGUACCGGAAUAGAAAGCCACGGCUAACUACGUGCCAGCAGCCGCGGUAAUAC
RNAcentral lists this ribosomal RNA (408 nucleotides) under uncultured bacterium. RNAcentral describes it as "partial 16S ribosomal RNA". It matches the Rfam family "Bacterial small subunit ribosomal RNA", at positions 28 to 526 of the family's 1533-position model. The record is from RNAcentral.